RNAcentral lists this ribosomal RNA (403 nucleotides) under uncultured Lactobacillus sp. RNAcentral's name for it is "bacterial SSU rRNA". It matches the Rfam family "Bacterial small subunit ribosomal RNA", at positions 137 to 525 of the family's 1533-position model. The record is from RNAcentral. Lineage: Bacteria; Bacillati; Bacillota; Bacilli; Lactobacillales; Lactobacillaceae.
CCUGGGAAACAGAUAGCUAAUACCGGAUAAUAACAGAUGAUGCCUAUCAACUGUUUAAAGAUGUUCUGCUAUCACUCUUGGAUGGACCUGCGGUGCAUUAGCUAGUUGGUAGGGGUAACGGGCCUACCAAGGCGAUGAUGCAUAGCCCGAGUUGAGAGACUGAUCGGGCCACAUUGGGACUGAGACACGGGCCCAAACUCCUACGGGAGGCAGCAGUAGGGGAAUCUUCCACAAUGGACGCAAAGUCUGAUGGAGCAAAACGCCGCGUGAGUGAAGAAGGGUUUCGGCUCGUAAAAGCUCUGUUGUUGGUGAAGAAGGACAGGGGUAGUAACUGACCCUUUGUUUGACGGUAAUCAAUUUAGAAAGUCACGGGCUAACUACGUGCCCAGCGGCCGCGGUAAAU